AGGCCUUUUGAGCUUUUGGAGCCGCCGUCGUCGCGACCACGGGUUGCCAUUCAAAGAACAAGACAGAGAGGCUCGGCGAAGGUUACUUCCGCUUCCGUGUUUAUGGGUUCAACUAUACCAGAUCCUUUUGGAUUCUGUUCCUAUCUUCCGAAGUGACAAUCACCUUCCCAGUUUUGUGUCAUCUGCAAACCUCAUAAGAAAUUCCUCUACCACAUUUACAUCAUUGAUUAAAAAUGAAGAAUCACCAUGCAAGAUCUUCUUCCAGUUUGAAGCACAUCCAUUGAUGAAUUAUAGAAUCAUAGAGUUUGAAGAGACCUUGUUGGCCAUCCAGUCCAACCUCCUGCCAAGAUGCAGAAAAAUCUCAUUCAAAGCACCCCUGACAGAUGGCCAUCCAGCCUCUGUUUAAAAGCCUCCAAAAAAGAA
Anolis sagrei ordinatus is the source of this 423-nucleotide non-coding RNA. The record is from RefSeq and is a predicted model, not a curated record. NCBI's taxonomy places the organism in Eukaryota, Metazoa, Chordata, Lepidosauria, Squamata, Anolidae.